GACGAACGCUGGCGGCGUGCUUAACACAUGCAAGUCGAACGAAGAGCGAUGGCAGCUUGCUUCUAUCAAUCUUAGUGGCGAACGGGUGAGUAACGAGUAAUCAACCUGCCCUUCAGAGGGGGACACCAGUUGGAAACGACUGCUAAUACCGCAUACGAUCUGACCUCGGCAUCGAGGGUAGAUGAACGGUGGCCUCUACAUGUAAGCUAUCACUGCAGGAGGGGGUUGCGUCUGAUUAGCACGUUGGAGCGGUAACGGCCCACGUUGGCGAGGAUGAGUAGCACCACUGCUAGGACGAGCAGCCGCAUUGAGACGGUGACACGCCCCAUAGGGCUACGGGAGCCAGCAGUGGGGAUUCUGGCGCCAGGAACGAAGGACUGUCGGAGCAACGCCGCAUGAGUGAUGACGGCCUUCGCGUUGUAGAGCUCGGUUAAUCGGGACGAAAGGCCUUUUUGCUAAUAGUGAGAAGGAUUGACGGUACUGGAAUAGAAAGCCACGGCUAACUACGUG
Molecule: ribosomal RNA, 510 nt
Filed under: uncultured bacterium
Lineage: Bacteria
Description: partial 16S ribosomal RNA
Rfam family: Bacterial small subunit ribosomal RNA
Source: RNAcentral